AACGCACAUUGCGCCCUCUGGUAUUCCGGAGGGCAUGCCUGUUCGAGCGUCAUUAUCACCCCUCAAGCCCGGCUUGUUGUUGGACGCGGCGGCGCCGUUUCGCGCCCCGCCCGUCUCAAAGAUAAUGACGGCGUCUGCGAGGACCCCUGUACACUGAGCUUUCGGGCACGUACUAGGCGUGGACUCCAGACCCGGUCACCGUCCCUUUUAGGGACAACUUUUUAACCAGGUUGACCUCGGAUCAGGUAGGAAUACCCGCUGAACUUAA
Molecule: unclassified non-coding RNA, 268 nt
Filed under: uncultured fungus
Lineage: Eukaryota; Fungi
Description: sequence contains ITS2
Rfam family: 5.8S ribosomal RNA (bases 1-52)
Source: RNAcentral